Molecule: long non-coding RNA, 1284 nt
Organism: Triticum aestivum (bread wheat)
Lineage: Eukaryota; Viridiplantae; Streptophyta; Magnoliopsida; Poales; Poaceae
Exons: 6
Source: RefSeq, a predicted model, not a curated record
AAUCUGCUCGGCGCGCCCGCACCCAAUCACCCGCGUCUUGCCCCACUCCCACCCCAGCCGCCAAACGAACCCUAGCUCUCUUUCUCUUUCCCCUCUAUCCCCACGAGCCGCCGCACCCCUCCCUCGAUCCCCACAAUCCUCUCCUCGCUAGCAUACGCCGGCCGGCCUCGUCUCUCCACUCACCUCCACUUAUCCUCUACCAUGUCAUCGUCGAUCCCACCGCCAGCCUUCUCCUCUGCUCGCCUCCUCAUGUCCUCUUCCAUGUCACCGUCGAUCCAGAUCGGACAUAGGUCGUCUUCGCGGUGCGGAUGGGGAUGUAGGGGAGGUGUAGGAUGCGGACGACAAGGGAAGGAGGAGGCCGGCAAGGAAGGCAAGCAACAGCGGGGAAGGAGAAGGUGAGCGGUCCUAGCAUGGGGAAGGGGCAGGGUGAGGCCUCGCGCACCUGCCGGCGGCCGGCAGGUCGACUUGUUGCGCCACCGCAUCGUCACCUCCUCUGCACCAUGAGAGGCGCAUCCUCUGCGCCAUGAGAGGCGCCACCUUUGCCUCCCCCCACUGGGCAAGUAGCUCGAGGUGAACAGGCGGUGUGGGAAGGCUUGAGGAACCAGGAGCUCAUCCCUCCUCCCAUGCUGCCUCGCGGAUCUAGAGUAUAAGGAGGCAACAUGUGCCUGUUGCAGGCGGCUCGAGCGAUGCAAGCUGGCGGCGAACUAGAAAAGAAGGCCUCCUCGGACAUUAAGAAGGUACAAUUAGGUAGUAGUGGAAGUGCUCCCUUCAAAAACAAGAACUUGGCAGAAGCUCUACAUAUGCAAAUGGAGGUUCAGACACAGCUCCAUGAACAGUUAUAGGAUUCCUACUAGAACAUGUGUCAUUCCAAAUUGUGACAAUGAUCUUUCUACUCAUGAGCAGUCCUUUUUAUACUGAAUUUUGAUGCAUAUUGUAUGUGACAAGAAGGACUCCUCGGACAUUAAGAAGGAACUUGGCAGAAGCUCUACAUAUGCAAAUGGAGGUUCAGACACAGCUCCAUGAGCAGGUCAAGAGCCAUGAAUAGGAGCAAGGCAUCACACUCCAUCUCCGAAGCAAAAACAUUUUGCUUGUAAUAAUGAACUGUAGUUUACCACAAUCUCUCAAAAACAGGCCUACCUAUUACCAGUCCGUUUCUUGCCUUUCUUUAGGAAGUAUGCUCGGUCGUAUAUAUUUACAUUCGUGUUGUUUAGUUGUGGUUUGUAUGCUUGAAAAUACGUUUUAACCGAGCUUGAAAAUUCUUAUGUGAAGUGAAAUUGUAUCUAA